AACGAACUCUUCGGAGUUAGUGGCGCACGGGUGCGUAACGCGUGGGAAUCUGCCCUUGGGUACGGAAUAACUCAGAGAAAUUUGUGCUAAUACCGUAUAAUGUCUUCGGACCAAAGAUUUAUCGCCCAAGGAUGAGCCCGCGUAAGAUUAGCUAGUUGGUGAGGUAAAAGCUCACCAAGGCGACGAUCUUUAGCUGGUCUGAGAGGAUGAUCAGCCACACUGGGACUGAGACACGGCCCAGACUCCUACGGGAGGCAGCAGUGGGGAAUAUUGGACAAUGGGCGAAAGCCUGAUCCAGCAAUGCCGCGUGAGUGAUGAAGGCCCUAGGGUUGUAAAGCUCUUUUACCCGGGAUGAUAAUGACAGUACCGGGAGAAUAAGCUCCGGCUAACUCCGUGCCAGCAGCCGCGGUAAUACGGAGGGAGCUAGCGUUGUUCGGAAUUACUGGGCGUAAAGCGCGCGUAGGCGGUUUUUUAAGUCAGAGGUGAAAGCCCAGUGCUCAACACUGGAACUGCCUUUGAAACUGGAAAACUUGAAUCUUGGAGAGGUCAGUGGAAUUCCGAGUGUAGAGGUGAAAUUCGUAGAUAUUCGGAAGAACACCAGUGGCGAAGGCGACUGACUGGACAAGUAUUGACGCUGAGGUGCGAAA
Molecule: ribosomal RNA, 647 nt
Filed under: Sphingopyxis panaciterrae
Lineage: Bacteria; Pseudomonadati; Pseudomonadota; Alphaproteobacteria; Sphingomonadales; Sphingopyxidaceae
Description: bacterial SSU rRNA
Rfam family: Bacterial small subunit ribosomal RNA
Source: RNAcentral